RNAcentral lists this ribosomal RNA (142 nucleotides) under uncultured Mesorhizobium sp. RNAcentral's name for it is "partial 16S ribosomal RNA". It matches the Rfam family "Bacterial small subunit ribosomal RNA", at positions 364 to 525 of the family's 1533-position model. The record is from RNAcentral. Lineage: Bacteria; Pseudomonadati; Pseudomonadota; Alphaproteobacteria; Hyphomicrobiales; Phyllobacteriaceae.
UUGGACAUGGGCGCAGCCUGAUCCCGCCAUGCCGCGUGAGUGAUGAAGGCCCUAGGGUUGUAAAGCUCUUUCACCGGUGAAGAUAAUGACGGUAACCGGAGAAGAAGCCCCGGCUAACUUCGUGCCAGCAGCCGCGGUAAUA